Small nuclear RNA from Lemur catta (Ring-tailed lemur), 105 nucleotides. NCBI's taxonomy places the organism in Eukaryota, Metazoa, Chordata, Mammalia, Primates, Lemuridae. The record is from RefSeq and is a predicted model, not a curated record.
GUGCUUGCUUUUGGUAGCACAUAAUAUUGCAAUGAUACAGAGAAGAUUAGCAUGGCCCCUGCACAAGGAUAAAAAAUAUCUAAAAAAAAAAAAUGGAAAAAUCUU